AGAUGUGAAGUGCUGGCUGUCCCUGAGAUGAGAGUGCAGGCUACAGUGCUCCUCCUGGCUCCCACUCGUGUGGCUGGGGGCUGAGGGUUGCCUUCCUGUGCAGGUGAAAGAGCUGUGACAUUUUCCUCUAAGCUUGUUCGGAAAGCAUCAUACAGAGGGAGGAAGCCAGCCUGCAAAGCCACAGCUCAUCUCAGGCCUGACAGAGC
This 206-nucleotide long non-coding RNA is filed under the name Homo sapiens (human). RNAcentral's name for it is "HSALNT0279204". The record is from RNAcentral. Lineage: Eukaryota; Metazoa; Chordata; Mammalia; Primates; Hominidae.